Bubalus bubalis (water buffalo) is the source of this 3259-nucleotide long non-coding RNA. RefSeq lists it as uncharacterized. The transcript has 3 exons. The record is from RefSeq and is a predicted model, not a curated record. NCBI's taxonomy places the organism in Eukaryota, Metazoa, Chordata, Mammalia, Artiodactyla, Bovidae.
UCCAGCGGAUCUUCCCGACCCAGGAAUCGAACCGGGGUCUUCUGCAUUGCAGGCAGAUUCUUUACCAACUGACCUAUCAAGGAAGCCCAUCAAUGGGAAUAAUAAUGCCUACCCAAUAGGGUGGUCACAAGGAAGAUGUGAGGUAAUAAAGUCCUGUCACUGAUCGAUCAUUCCCUUUCUUGCUCUCCUUCCAUGUGAUUCUAAAACUCUAUAACAUCCUACAAAUGACCAGAACACCAGGACUCACACUGACCCUCAUAUUAAGCACAUGGUAUCUGUUGAUUAUGUUCUCUGUGUGUGAUACUGCUCUUUGGAGGGAGGAGGCUUAGACAUGUGUGAGGCAUGGGUCCUACCCUGGGAACAAGGCUGGGGGGCAGAUGAACUUGAGGCCAGAAGAACGCUGGAGUGGUGGGGAUUAGAUAGGCCAAAAGGGUGCCCUGAAGUGACAAUGACAAGGGCAUGGCUAUAUCAGAUUUAAGUUCCUGCCUUUGGAGUUCCUCUCACCCACUGGAGGCCCCCCAGGAGGUCCAAGCAGGGGAAAAGCCAGGUGAAAACUGGUGAGGGCUGCUGGGCUGCAGAAGGAGGCACGGAAAUUAUCUAGGGAUGCAAAUCCUCCUCACAAUGAGGAAGUCGUUCCCCUGGGUUACUUAAAUGCCUUCUGCUGGAACUGAAGUUUGUUUUUCUCUUCUGUAGUCUUUUGGGGAAAGAGAGAAUUGCUAAUGACCUUCCUCCAUUACCCAACAUUGAUCUGUGGGAGGGGAGGCCGUCGCCUGGUCUUCCUGCCUUUCCCUGUGUGUAUCCCUCUGGAUGUACUAACAAGGGCUUAACCAGAGAUGAAUAAGUGCCAAGGCAUUUCCAGCUUACAGCACUUCUCCAGAAUCCCUCCUCCCUCUCCUUCUUCUUUUCCCUUUCCUCCCCACCCCUCUAUGUCCCCAGCCCCGGUCCUUGGGGGGCUCUGGGCAAAGGUCAUCCUCCUGGAGGAGAUGAUCCUGCAGUCCUGCCCAGGGGGGCUCACCUCUGCUCCUCCCUGGGAGCUGCUAGCAGGCAGCCUGGGAGCCCAGGGAUGUCAGGUCAAACUCAGACGAUGUAGGAGCAGGAGCUGGGGGCAGCGAGGCGGGGUGUCCACCAGGGAGGUGAUUAGCUUUGCAGCGUCUCUAAUAAUAAUCUGUGAGGCUAACAAACAGCACUGCGGAGGCUGUGAGGGCAGGCUGCGCGCUGACUGUCUCUGUCCUUCUUAAGGUUAGACCAGGAGGGAGACCUUGUUAAUUGCAGACUCAUCCUGAUUACUACCAGCUCUCAGCCGGUGAGCCACAGGAGGCAAAGCCAAGGCUUAGUGGAGACAUUUGGAGCAGCUGGAGUCUGCUGGAGUAGGGUUUCCUCCUGACCCUGGGGACCCAACUUGUGAGAAAGCCCUGGGAUUCAAAAACUCAGUUCAUCUAUCGGUCAGUAUUGGCUGGCUGCAGUGCGUCUACAGAACAUUCAAAGGAGUCCUGAAUUUCAUUUUUUGAAAGAUAUGAGUUGAACCAACAAAGUGCUCGUCCAUCCUUCAGAAGAGAGUCACUUCUUCCUCUGAUCUGAAGGACUUGUGACCCUCUGAGAUCCCCCUACCACAACAAAGCCCCAGACAAGGUAAGUCCUUAAAGACUUUUUGACUCUCCUUAGGAGAGUAGAAGCAAUAUAUUCCUCCCCUGGAGCUAUUUUUGAGCUACCUGAGGACUCACAGCCUCUGCUGAGGCCCCGGGGAAGCCGAGGUACAUGUCGCUGAUCUUCUGUACUCCUGGUGGUGGUGGGUGUCAGGCUGAGUUGCUUAUCACGGCCCCCUGCCUGCUGCACAUCUCCGAGAGCUCAAAAGUGACCUGCGUGAACAUGAAGCGGGUAAGACUUCUUAGCCUUCUCACUGGGACCUGGCUUUGGGCCUUUGACUGACGGCUCACUGACACCAGCACUCUUUGAGAAAGGAACACAAAAGAGGUUUCUGAAAAGUUACCGGAGACACAGGAGAGUAUUGGAAAGGAAUGCUGACACCGUCGUUUUGGCCAAAAAAACAUAAGGUGGGUUAAAAACAUUAGCUUUUCUCGAGUGGCUUAUCUGUUGCCAUUGAACUACAAAUGUUUGGAAGUAUUUAGUAAAGUGAAAGAUACAUCGCCCUACAGUUGGGCAACUGUACUGUAGGCAUAUGCUGUAGAGAAACAUACAGGUGCAUAAAGAGACACGUACCAGAGACAUCAUAGCACUAUUGUUUGUAAUAGCAAAACAGGCAAACAAAAAACACAAAAGAUGGAGCAACCAAAAUUUCUAGCAACAGGACAAUGAAAUGAAUAAGUUGAGUAAGUUGUGAAGUACUCAUUCAAUGGAGUUCUUUUCAGCAGUAAAAAUGAAUGAAGUGGAGUUACAUGUAUCAACAUGGAUGAUUCUCUGAAACAUCACAGAGCUAAGGAAGCAUGCUGCAGAAGAGUAUAUCCACUGCGAUACCACUUAUAAAAGCUGUGAGCUAUGCAGAACCAAGCCAGCUCCACUGCCGGGUUCAAAGAUUCUCUGGACUGACUCUCCUGGAGCGUCCCCAGGCCAGCUCUGACUAUUCCUAACUUCACACGUGGGCAUCCAUUCCUCAUGGAGACAUUAUUUAACUUGUUCAGUCGCUCAGUCAUGUUGGAGUCUUUGCGACCCCGUGGACUACAGCACGCUGGGCUUCCCUGUCCUUCAGGAAUCUCCUGGAGUUUGCUCAGACUCACGUCCAUUGAGUCGGUGAUGCCAUCCAACCAUUCAUCCUCUGUAACCCCUUCUCCUCCUGCCCUCAGUAUAUCCCAUCAUCAGGGUCUUUUCCAGCGAGUUGGCUCUUCACAUCAAGUGGCCAAAGUAUUGUCCUGCUGCUGUCUGCUCCCUCCCUGCCGAUUCCAAGUCCGAUUCCAAGUGUCAUGACUGCAGAGCUGUGUCUUUUUUAUGGGGUGGAGGUAGGGAUGGGAGAGGGGAUAUGUCACCUCUAAUUCGGUUUUCUCUAUAAUAAGGGAAGCUCAAUAAUGAAUUGAGCUUGACAAAAAGUUAAUGCAAUAAAAAUUGCACCCUGACUCGAAAUUUAGCUCCGAUACUCCCUGGUUAUGUGCCAUUGGGGAAGUGACUUAAUCUUUCUCAGUGUCAAUUUUGCUUCUGUAAAAUGGGGAUAUUACAUAAAUACCUUACAGGAUUCUUUGUUGUUGUUGUUGCAGUAUAAUUGACUUACAAUGUUCUGUUAAUUUCUGCUAUACAGCAAAGUGAUUCAGUU